Molecule: ribosomal RNA, 503 nt
Filed under: uncultured bacterium
Lineage: Bacteria
Description: partial 16S ribosomal RNA
Rfam family: Bacterial small subunit ribosomal RNA
Source: RNAcentral
UGGGGAAUAUUGCACGAUGGGCGAAAGCCUGAUGCAGCGACGCCGCGUGAGGGAUGACGGCCUUCGGGUUGUAAACCUCUUUCAGCAGGGAAGAAGCGAAAGUGACGGUACCUGCAGAAGAAGCGCCGGCUAACUACGUGCCAGCAGCCGCGGUAAUACGUAGGGCGCAAGCGUUGUCCGGAAUUAUUGGGCGCAAAGAGCUCGUAGGCGGUUAGUCGCGUCUGCUGUGAAAACUCGAGGCUCAACCUCGGGCUUGCAGUGGGUACGGGCUGACUAGAGUGCGGUAGGGGUGACUGGAACUCCUGGUGUAGCGGUGGAAUGCGCAGAUAUCAGGAGGAACACCGAUGGCGAAGGCAGGUCACUGGGCCGCAACUGACGCUGAGGAGCGAAAGCAUGGGGAGCGAACAGGAUUAGAUAGCCCUGGUAGUCCAUGCCGUAAACGUUGGGCACUAGGUGUGGGGUCCAUUCCACGGAUUCCGUGCCGCAGCAAAGCGCAUUAAGUG